AAGCAUAUCAAUAAGCGGAGGAAAAGAAACCAACAGGGAUUGCCUCAGUAACGGCGAGUGAAGCGGCAACAGCUCAAAUUUGAAAUCUGGCCUCUUUGGGGUCCGAGUUGUAAUUUGUAGAGGAUGUUUCGGGUACCGCCUCGGUUUAAAUUUCUUGGAACAGAAUGUCAAAGAGGGUGAGAAUCCCGUCUUGGACCGGCGGUAGGGCCCAUGUGAAACUCCUUCGACGAGUCGAGUUGUUUGGGAAUGCAGCUCAAAAUGGGUGGUAAAUUUCAUCUAAAGCUAAAUAUUGGCCAGAGACCGAUAGCGCACAAGUAGAGUGAUCGAAAGAUGAAAAGCACUUUGAAAAGAGAGUUAAACAGUAUGUGAAAUUGUUGAAAGGGAAGCGCUUACAACCAGACUUGAGCGCGGCGGUUCCCCCUUCCUUUUGGUUGGGUUACUCCGUCGUGUCCAGGCCAACAUCGGUUUCGGGGGUCGGUUAAAGACCUUGGGAAUGUAUCUACCCUUCGGGCGUAGACUUAUAGCCCAGGGUGUCAUGCGGCCUCCCGGGACCGAGGAACGCGCUUCGGCUCGGAUGUUGGCGUAAUGGUUGUCAGCGACCCGUCUUGAAACACGGACCAAGGAGUCUAACAUCUAUGCGAGUGUUUGGGUGUCAAACCCGGAACGCGAAAUGAAAGUGAACGGAGGUAGGAAGCCUUGAGGCUGCACUAUCGACCGAUCCUGAUGUCUUCGGAUGGAUUUGAGUAAGAGCAUAGCUGUUGGGACCCGAAAGAUGGUGAACUAUGCCUGAAUAGGGUGAAGCCAGAGGAAACUCUGGUGGAGGCUCGCAGCGGUUCUGACGUGCAAAUCGAUCGUCAAAUUUGGGUAUAGGGGCGAAAGACUAAUCGAA
RNAcentral lists this ribosomal RNA (889 nucleotides) under Veronaea botryosa. Its description in RNAcentral is "partial large subunit ribosomal RNA". It matches the Rfam family "Eukaryotic large subunit ribosomal RNA", at positions 36 to 939 of the family's 3401-position model. Lineage: Eukaryota; Fungi; Ascomycota; Eurotiomycetes; Chaetothyriales; Herpotrichiellaceae. The record is from RNAcentral.